AACGAACGCUGGCGGCAUGCCUAACACAUGCAAGUCGAACGAGACCUUCGGGUCUAGUGGCGCACGGGUGCGUAACGCGUGGGAACCUGCCCUUAGGUUCGGAAUAACUCCCCGAAAGGGGUGCUAAUACCGGAUAAUGUCUUCGGACCAAAGAUUUAUCGCCUUUGGAUGGGCCCGCGUUGGAUUAGCUAGUUGGUAGGGUAAAAGCCUACCAAGGCGACGAUCCAUAGCUGGUCUGAGAGGAUGAUCAGCCACACUGGGACUGAGACACGGCCCAGACUCCUCCGGGAGGCAGCAGUGGGGAAUAUUGGACAAUGGGCGAAAGCCUGAUCCAGCAAUGCCGCGUGAGUGAUGAAGGCCUUAGGGUUGUAAAGCUCUUUUACCCGGGAUGAUAAUGACAGUACCGGGAGAAUAAGCUCCGGCUAACUCCGUG
RNAcentral lists this ribosomal RNA (433 nucleotides) under uncultured bacterium. RNAcentral's name for it is "partial 16S ribosomal RNA". It matches the Rfam family "Bacterial small subunit ribosomal RNA", at positions 29 to 507 of the family's 1533-position model. The record is from RNAcentral.